Molecule: long non-coding RNA, 444 nt
Organism: Magnolia sinica
Lineage: Eukaryota; Viridiplantae; Streptophyta; Magnoliopsida; Magnoliales; Magnoliaceae
Exons: 3
Source: RefSeq, a predicted model, not a curated record
GAAAUUAUGAAAAACUGGGAUCUCAUACACAUCUUCCAUAUUGGCAUGUGUGGCUACAUGUGGAUGGGCACAGCUCCACACACAUGCAGGCUUAACAAACAUCUGUUUCAGGUUUACUUAAUAUGUAAGGAACUCUUCAAGGAGCCAGUACGUCUGGAUUUGUUUGCAGCCAAUCCAUGCUUUGAAACCCAUUCAACUAAGAAUAGACAUUGACAGGCAGGUUAAAAGCUUCGUUCUGUAAGGCUUUUCACACAUCUUCCAUCUAUGGUAGAGCUUAUGAAAGUAAAGUUUGUAUCUCACAACUGUUGGCCCCACUUGUAAGUUGUAAUGUGUAUCCUGACACUUAAACCCAAUGCACUUGUAAGUUUUUUUUUUGAAGGUGCAGCUUGUCUGCUACAUGUGCUCUUGCACGUGUUAGCAUGAUGGACAUGUUGCGUUUCCACA